Molecule: ribosomal RNA, 417 nt
Filed under: uncultured bacterium
Lineage: Bacteria
Description: bacterial SSU rRNA
Rfam family: Bacterial small subunit ribosomal RNA
Source: RNAcentral
AGAGUUUGAUCCUGGCUCAGAUUGAACGCUGGCGGCAUGCCUAACACAUGCAAGUCGCACGCGAAAGGGGGCAACCCUGAGUAGAGUGGCGGACGGGUGAGUAACGCGUAGGAAUCUACCUGGUAGUGGGGGACAACCCGGCGAAAGCCGGGCUAAUACCGCAUACGAUCCACGGAUGAAAGCAGGGGACCGCAAGGCCUUGCGCUAUCAGAUGAGCCUGCGUCGGAUUAGCUAGUUGGUGAGGUAAAGGCUCACCAAGGCGACGAUCCGUAGCUGGUUUGAGAGAACGACCAGCCACACUGGGACUGAGACACGGCCCAGACUCCUACGGGAGGCAGCAGUGGGGAAUAUUGGACAAUGGGGGCAACCCUGAUCCAGCAAUGCCGCGUGUGUGAAGAAGGCCUUCGGGUUGUAAAG